AUUGAACGCUGGCGGCAGGCCUAACACAUGCAAGUCGAGCGGAUGAAGGGAGCUUGCUCCUGGAUUCAGCGGCGGACGGGUGAGUAAUGCCUAGGAAUCUGCCUGGUAGUGGGGGAUAACGUCCGGAAACGGGCGCUAAUACCGCAUACGUCCUGAGGGAGAAAGUGGGGGAUCUUCGGACCUCAUGCUAUCAGAUGAGCCUAGGUCGGAUUAGCUAGUUGGUGGGGUAAAGGCCUACCAAGGCGACGAUCCGUAACUGGUCUGAGAGGAUGAUCAGUCACACUGGAACUGAGACACGGUCCAGACUCCUACGGGAGGCAGCAGUGGGGAAUAUUGGACAAUGGGCGAAAGCCUGAUCCAGCCAUGCCGCGUGUGUGAAGAAGGUCUUCGGAUUGUAAAGCACUUUAAGUUGGGAGGAAGGGCAGUAAGUUAUUACCUUGCUGUUUUGACGUUACCAACAGAAUAAGCACCGGCUAACUUCGUG
RNAcentral lists this ribosomal RNA (484 nucleotides) under uncultured bacterium. RNAcentral describes it as "partial 16S ribosomal RNA". It matches the Rfam family "Bacterial small subunit ribosomal RNA", at positions 30 to 507 of the family's 1533-position model. The record is from RNAcentral.